GCGCACACGUGCAUGCGCGCAGCUGGACAGCCGGAGGAGGCACUCCUAGCUUUAAUCCGAGCAAAGCCGGUGGGGGCGUGACCACAGGUAACCUGUACCCAUAGCAAUGGUGGCGGUUUGAGAUGAAAUAAGUACACACGGUUUCCAGCGCUCCGCAAACCCAUAACCUAGGCGGAGAGACAGCUGAAAGCCUGAGACUGGAAGUUGGGAAACCCGGCAUCUUAGCCCCAGGUCUGUCUCCAGAAGACUCUCAGAUCCUGUAUAAAGUUCUCAAAACGCAACACUGUCAAGUCUGGAGUCCUUGGAAGCCCUUUCCCACACCCCUGUCAUCUCCCUUCUUCAUACAAUCUGGCAUGCGUUUGACAGACGAAGGAACCAUUCUUUGAAGAUGCCUAGUGACUUGACGAGGUCACCUGGCUGCUAGAAGUCUGAGCCAAACUGAAACCCUACAGCUCUUCUGACUCCCAAACCAGUGCUCUUCUCCUGACUCCCACCUCAGAAGCCGCAAGCCUCGCUUGGGGCAGUCACUCUGCAAUCUCCCUGGGAUCUGAACCUUUCCUCACCAUUGCCACCCACCCACCCCUGCACAGUGGACUUUCUCCCCUGGCUCUGGCUCUAAAAUGCUUCCACCAGGCCCUAGCAAGGUGGCCUCCCUCAACACUCCUUUCUACAACCAGACCAAGAGGAAGAAUUAACAAUGGAAGAAAAAAAAAAAAGGAAGAAAGAAAGAAAAAAGAAAGAGAACCAAAGAUCCCACUCCAUCUCAUUAAGAAAGUAAACAUAAGAGCCAUCUAAGUGUCUAAUUAAGCUUCUAAUUAGUCCCUGCUUGUUACUAAUGCAAAUUAGAUUACUCCGCUUAACUACAGCAUGUCCACAACACCCUUGUUAAUUGCGGCCUUUUGAAAUUAAAUUACUCCCUAAUUAGCAUAUCAAAGCCAUUGAUUCGGAGCUGGGAAAGAUGAGGGCAAGAGAAGCCGAAUGCCAAGUUUGGUUAAUCAGAGAUGGCUAAUUAAAUAGUGACGUCUUACGUGGGGGGGCCUGCUGGUUAAGGGGUGGGGGCGACUCAUCCAGGGCCUGAGUGGCCAUCUGGAGCCUGGUUCUGGUAGUGCCCUUGGCACCAGGGGGCUCCCGUGAGCAAAGGAGGGGCUCUGGCCAGCCUGGGACAGAUCACUGGUCUGGCCCUUCCUGGGGCCUUGACUGCUUUAGGCCUAACCUGUCCCUGACAGGCCCUGGGCCCUCUCUCUGUCUCCCCUCACAAUAUUUAGGUGUGGCAUUUACAGGGAUCUUGGGUACCAACUCAAGGGGCAUCUAAAACACAGCCACAUCCGAAUACAUAAGAUUCAGCAUCCUUCCUCACCUCUUUCCCUGUUCCAAAUGAGUUCCAGAAAGGUGACUUGUGCCUAGUUCUUCUCUAGUCCCCACCUGAGAUUCCAUUCUUGGAAGAGAGUCUCCCCUCUCCCCAACAAAAAGUAAAUAAGUUUGGGGGACAGGGAAGAGGGUGAUGAUAACUUUCACAGACAGGCUCACCUGGGCAGGGAUGGGCUGGUUUUAGCUUCAAACAGACUCCUGGAGACACAAGACCCUAUAAUUCCCGCCAUGGUAGAAAACGGGACAAUUGUCCCCCACCAUCCGUUUUUAACAGGUGUGUGGGAAUUCGAUUGGGGUCAGGGUGUCCUUAAAGGUCUUCUCUGAGCUCUAGUAGAGAGCUUGCAGAGUCUCGGAGACCACCCCCCUUCCCCCAGCUCUUCCUCGAAGAAUACUGAAGACAGGUGAAAUCUCCAAGACAGAACUACUAACCAAAAUGCCCUCAGGGGCAAGGCUGGUCACCUAGGAGGGCAGGUGAGAAGUGCAGGGCACUCAAUCCCAGUCUGUCUUUACCACACCCAGAAAUGCAGGCUGACUGUUGACAGGGUUCCGGUUUCUCAAAAGAGGCUAAAGUGGGGAUAUUUACGUGAAACGUGCCGUUGUAAUAAACUUUGUGUGGGCCAACAAAAAACUCAUAGGGGGUAAAGUUAGUCAAUUUGUGACCUCGGCCCUUGUGGCCAGCAUUCCAGAGAGGCAGGUUCCAGGUAACUAUGUGGCCCCGGGCAAGUUACAUUUCCACUCUACCCCAGGGUCCCUUGCUCGCCAAUUCAGAGUAACGCGUAUCACUGCCUAGAGGAUCUCUCAGGGGUGUUAUGAGGAUCAGAACAAGAAAGUAUGUGAAAUGGCAAGGCCCGGCUCCUCAGUCAGGGUCUGGUGACCACUUAGUUGUACCCUGUACCUGCCACAGCCCCCUCCCAGAUCGGGAUGUCUUCUAGAACCUUCCUCUUUCAUCUUCCAUUUACCUUCUUGUUCCUUCAGAUGCCUGCCUCAGCUCUUGGGCAGCCAGGAGGUAGCACACAUCUGUGCCCUCGCCCCCUACAGUGAUCGGCUCUAGCAGGGGCAAUGGCUCCUAACUGCCUCUUCUAAAAAAAGAUGAAUGAACAAAAUCCUGAUGGCUGACAUGUCCCUAGCCUGGUCCUCCAGUGUCCCCUCCCCCAUCUAGGGUGUGGGUGUCUAGUGGGAGAAGCUCCUUGGAGUCUGUCCCCAG
Long non-coding RNA from Felis catus (domestic cat), 2572 nucleotides. RefSeq lists it as uncharacterized. NCBI's taxonomy places the organism in Eukaryota, Metazoa, Chordata, Mammalia, Carnivora, Felidae. The record is from RefSeq and is a predicted model, not a curated record. The transcript is spliced from 3 exons.